Molecule: ribosomal RNA, 225 nt
Filed under: uncultured bacterium
Lineage: Bacteria
Description: partial 16S ribosomal RNA
Rfam family: Bacterial small subunit ribosomal RNA
Source: RNAcentral
AGUAACGCGUGGGUAACCUGCCCUGUACAGGGGGAUAACAGUCAGAAAUGACUGCUAAUACCGCAUAAGACCACAGCACCGCAUGGUGCAGGGGUAAAAACUCCGGUGGUACAGGAUGGACCCGCGUCUGAUUAGCUGGUUGGUGAGGUAACGGCUCACCAAGGCGACGAUCAGUAGCCGGCUUGAGAGAGUGAACGGCCACAUUGGGACUGAGACACGGCCCAA